UACGGAGGGUGCGAGCGUUGUCCGGAUUUACUGGGCGUAAAGAGCUCGCAUGCGGCCAAGUCAGUCGAAUGUGAAAGCCCCCGGCUCAACUGGGGAGGGUCAUUCGAUACUGCUCGGCUCGAAGACAGGAGAGGGAAGUGGAAUUCCCGGUGUAGUGGUGAAAUGCGUAGAUAUCGGGAGGAACACCAGUGGCGAAGGCGACUUUCUGGCCUGUUCUUGACGCUGAGGCGCGAAAGCUAGGGGAGCAAACGGG
Molecule: ribosomal RNA, 253 nt
Filed under: uncultured bacterium
Lineage: Bacteria
Description: partial 16S ribosomal RNA
Rfam family: Bacterial small subunit ribosomal RNA
Source: RNAcentral